RNAcentral lists this non-coding RNA (106 nucleotides) under Ruegeria sp. ANG-R. Its description in RNAcentral is "TPP riboswitch aptamer (THI element)". It matches the Rfam family "TPP riboswitch aptamer (THI element)". From Rfam's summary of the family: Vitamin B(1) in its active form thiamin pyrophosphate (TPP) is an essential coenzyme that is synthesised by coupling of pyrimidine and thiazole moieties in bacteria. The record is from Rfam by way of RNAcentral. Lineage: Bacteria; Pseudomonadati; Pseudomonadota; Alphaproteobacteria; Rhodobacterales; Roseobacteraceae. RNAcentral also lists the same sequence under 1 other name.
AGGCCUACCUCGGGGUGCGCUCAAGACUGCGCUGAGAUGCCAACAGGCGAACCCGUUGAACCUGAACCGGCUAGAACCGGCGGAGGGAAAGGUAAAGGUUUCGUCC